Molecule: ribosomal RNA, 491 nt
Filed under: uncultured bacterium
Lineage: Bacteria
Description: partial 16S ribosomal RNA
Rfam family: Bacterial small subunit ribosomal RNA
Source: RNAcentral
AGUGAACGCUGGCGGUAGGCCUAACACAUGCAAGUCGAACGGCAGCACAGUAAGAGCUUGCUCUUACGGGUGGCGAGUGGCGGACGGGUGAGGAAUACAUCGGAAUCUACUUUUUCGUGGGGGAUAACGUAGGGAAACUUACGCUAAUACCGCAUACGACCUACGGGUGAAAGCAGGGGAUCUUCGGACCUUGCGCGAUUGAAUGAGCCGAUGUCGGAUUAGCUAGUUGGCGGGGUAAAGGCCCACCAGGGCGACGAUCCGUAGCUGGCCUGAGAGGAUGAUCAGCCACACUGGAACUGAGACACGGUCCAGACUCCUACGGGAGGCAGCAGUGGGGAAUAUUGGACAAUGGGCGCAAGCCUGAUCCAGCCAUACCGCGUGGGUGAAGAAGGCCUUCGGGUUGUAAAGCCCUUUUGUUGGGAAAGAAAAGCAGCAGGUUAAUACCCCGCUGUUCUGACGGUACCCAAAGAAUAAGCACCGGCUAACUUCGU